Molecule: long non-coding RNA, 264 nt
Filed under: Elaeis guineensis (African oil palm)
Lineage: Eukaryota; Viridiplantae; Streptophyta; Magnoliopsida; Arecales; Arecaceae
Description: long non-coding RNA (EGUI_LNC013556)
Source: RNAcentral
AAGUGAGUAUAACUGAGGCCAUCACUAUGGAACCUAUAUCUGCUGUACCUCCAGUAGAGACUGAGGUUCCCAAGGCCGUCAAGAAACCAAAGUCCACCACAGCCGUAGGGCCCAUUACCACGAUGUUGCUGGGGAACCGGGGGAGACUAAAGUGGAAUCAACCAAGAAGAGUUUCAAUGCACCGAUAAUUAUUCGGUAGAGAUUUUUUUUUUCUUCUGGGAUGUAUUGACCUAAUAUAGGUCUUUUUUUGGAACAUAUUAAUCC